GCGCCGGUGCCCGAGCGGACUAAGGGAGUGGCCUGCAAAGCCAUGAUUCACGGGUUCAAAUCCCGUCCGGCGCUCCA
This 77-nucleotide transfer RNA is filed under the name bacterium. RNAcentral describes it as "tRNA-Cys". It matches the Rfam family "tRNA". From Rfam's summary of the family: Transfer RNA (tRNA) molecules are approximately 80 nucleotides in length. Their secondary structure includes four short double-helical elements and three loops (D, anti-codon, and T loops). Further hydrogen bonds mediate the characteristic L-shaped molecular structure. tRNAs have two regions of fundamental functional importance: the anti-codon, which is responsible for specific mRNA codon recognition, and the 3' end, to which the tRNAs corresponding amino acid is attached (by aminoacyl-tRNA synthetases). tRNAs cope with the degeneracy of the genetic code in two manners: having more than one tRNA (with a specific anti-codon) for a particular amino acid; and 'wobble' base-pairing, i.e. permitting non-standard base-pairing at the 3rd anti-codon position. The record is from RNAcentral. RNAcentral also lists the same sequence under 1 other name.